AACGCUAGCUACAGGCUUAACACAUGCAAGUCGAGGGGCAGCGGGAUUGAAGCUUGCUUCAAUUGCCGGCGACCGGCGCACGGGUGAGUAACGCGUAUCCAACCUUCCGUACACUCAGGGAUAGCCUUUCGAAAGAAAGAUUAAUACCUGAUAGUAUGAUGAGAUUGCAUGGUAUCAUCAUUAAAGAUUUAUCGGUGUACGAUGGGGAUGCGUUCCAUUAGGUAGUAGGCGGGGUAACGGCCCACCUAGCCAACGAUGGAUAGGGGUUCUGAGAGGAAGGUCCCCCACAUUGGAACUGAGACACGGUCCAAACUCCUACGGGAGGCAGCAGUGAGGAAUAUUGGUCAAUGGACGAGAGUCUGAACCAGCCAAGUAGCGUGAAGGAUGAAGGUCCUACGGAUUGUAAACUUCUUUUAUAAGGGAAUAAACCCUCCCACGUGUGGGAGCUUGUAUGUACCUUAUGAAUAAGCAUCGGCUAACUCCGUGCCAGCAGUCGCGGUAAUACGGAGGAUGCGAGCGUUAUCCGGAUUUAUUGGGUUUAAAGGGAGCGCAGACGGGUCGUUAAGUCAGCUGUGAAAGUUUGGGGCUCAACCUUAAAAUUGCAGUUGAUACUGGCGUCCUUGAGUGCGGUUGAGGUGUGCGGAAUUCGUGGUGUAGCGGUGAAAUGCUUAGAUAUCACGAAGAACUCCGAUUG
Molecule: ribosomal RNA, 694 nt
Filed under: uncultured bacterium
Lineage: Bacteria
Description: bacterial SSU rRNA
Rfam family: Bacterial small subunit ribosomal RNA
Source: RNAcentral